This 260-nucleotide ribosomal RNA is filed under the name uncultured bacterium. RNAcentral's name for it is "partial 16S ribosomal RNA". It matches the Rfam family "Bacterial small subunit ribosomal RNA", at positions 337 to 614 of the family's 1533-position model. The record is from RNAcentral.
UCCUACGGGACGCAGCAGUAGGGAAUAUUGCUCAAUGGGGGAAACCCCGAAGCAGCAACGCCGCGUGGAGGAUGAAGGUUUUAGGAUUGUAAACUCCUCUUGUUAGAGAAGAUUAUGGCGGUAUCUAACGAAUAAGCACCGGCUAACUCCGUGCCAGCAGCCGUGGUAAUACGGAGGGCGCAAGCGUUACUCGGAAUCACUGGGCGUAAAGAGUGCGUAGGCGGGGGAAUAAGUCAGAUGUGAAAUUCUGUAGCUUAACU